Molecule: unclassified non-coding RNA, 387 nt
Filed under: soil metagenome
Description: partial contains 5.8S ribosomal RNA, internal transcribed spacer 2, and large subunit ribosomal RNA
Rfam family: 5.8S ribosomal RNA (bases 1-120)
Source: RNAcentral
GAUGAAGAACGCAGCGAAAUGCGAUAAGUAAUGUGAAUUGCAGAAUUCAGUGAAUCAUCGAAUCUUUGAACGCACCUUGCGCUCCUUGGUAUUCCGAGGAGCAUGCCUGUUUGAGUGUCAUGAAAUUCUCAACCUUUUCAGCUUUCUUUGUUGAUCAGGCUUGGAUGUGGGAGUAUGCGGGCUUCUCAGAAGUCGGCUCUCCUGAAAUGCAUUAGCGGGACCUUUGUUGCCUGGCUUUGGUGUGAUAAUUAUCUACGCCAUUGUAGUCAAGCAGCUUAAAAUGAGGUUUCAGCUUCUAACCAUCUCCCCUGAGACAACUUUUUGACAAUUUGACCUCAAAUCAGGUAGGACUACCCGCUGAACUUAAGCAUAUCAAUAAGCGGAGGA